This 275-nucleotide unclassified non-coding RNA is filed under the name Basidiomycota sp. Its description in RNAcentral is "partial contains small subunit ribosomal RNA, internal transcribed spacer 1, and 5.8S ribosomal RNA". The stretch from base 1 to 47 matches the Rfam family "Eukaryotic small subunit ribosomal RNA", at positions 1785 to 1831 of the family's 1831-position model. Lineage: Eukaryota; Fungi; Basidiomycota. The record is from RNAcentral.
AAAGUCGUAACAAGGUCUCCGUAGGUGAACCUGCGGAGGGAUCAUUAUAGAGAAAACACUUAUAAAAAGUGAUGGGGCCUUUAUGGCUCUGUUUCUUUUUCAAACAAACGAUCGCAACUAUUGAAUGUUUGGUUUGGGGGUUUGAUUGGGAGAGACAGCAAUGUCGCGCUCUUGAUCAAGAAAAAAAAAGUGUUUGCCUGAUAUUAUAUACAUGCCAUUGAUUUGGUUGGAGAAUAAUGUAAAUACAACUUUCAACAACGGAUCUCUUGGCUCUC